UAAGUGUAACUAUACUUGAGACCUUAGA
Molecule: small RNA, 28 nt
Filed under: Bombyx mori (domestic silkworm)
Lineage: Eukaryota; Metazoa; Arthropoda; Insecta; Lepidoptera; Bombycidae
Description: ovarian small RNA-5795
Source: RNAcentral